GGCUUAAUGUUUUUGUAUUGCAUAAAUAUGACAAGUAACUAUCCACUUAGCAGUAAGUUCGUCAUUAUCUUUAUAUUCGUCAUCAAAUGGAUUUAAUAUUAUGGUUGUAUUCAUGGAUCUUUCUGGACAGUGGGUGAUGUGUGUCGGCCGUUAACGUUAGCAUAUCUCCAUGGACAGCUAAGUGUCUAUGAUGUUAAAUUAUUAGGCCUAUGUUGAGUAUAACUAUUUUAUUCGUAAGUAUAAAAUGGAAGUUAACACAUCUCCUCCCAGUCGUUGUUUGGAAUUUUAGCCUUAGUCUCCCGGCCAGUUUCAUAAAUUUUCAUCAGCCAGCGAACAUUUUGUCCGAUGGGCAUGUGUAAUUUCUAGAAGUGCUAGUUCUUCAGAAAAAGGAUACGUGCCUAAGUACACUAAACCAACGUUAGUUCUGCUGCUGUGUUGUUCCGGUUUUUAUUCCAAACUUCCAUUUUCACUCCUAAUGUUCACCCUGACGUGAACAGGAAAUGUGCAUGAUAUCAUUUGACUGUUGUAGGCCCCUAGAGUACUUCUAGGUGUUUUCAUGACCGAUGUCAGUUAACUUUUUGGGAGCCAACGCAUGUGAGGCGAAACGUGUUUUUUACCUGACUUGGGAGUCAAAUGUUUUGAAUGUCUACUAUACAUUGAUUAAGGCAUUUUCACGCACGAGCAGGAAACAAUGAUACAUUACUAAUACUUAAUUCAAGUCAGUGGCAGGAAAUGAUAAACCAUAACCAGCAACGCAUUAAUUACAGCAAUGCAUUACUUUUUCUGCAACUCAGAGAAUACCUUAAGUUUGGCAGUUUUUUAGCAACUCAGUCAACAUUGCAUGUAAGCUUAACACAAUAAUGCAUAUUUUUUCUUUUUUGUGUCACUCCUCACCACAUAUGGCAGAUUUAGUGUGAAGAGCCACCUGUACAAGAUUCCUGGGACAGCAGAACAUGCACCUCACGCACUACCCUGGCACCCUGGCUGAACAACCCGCAGCACAUCAUCUCCAGCUGAGAGGGGGACUCAUACAUUCAUUUGAAAUCAGCUCUACUGAGCGUAACACAACUCUUGCAAUCAAAUUUGGCAGAGGCUCUGAAGGCCACAUAGCCAGCAAGGUACACUGACACAUUGCCCUCAAUGACGUCCAGCCCCUUCAUGAACUCUGUGUUGUCCAGUCCAGGGAAUGUGGGUUCCUCAUCAGUAGACUGUACGUGAGGCAUGGUCAGUGCGGUGCAUGGAUGGGGAGUUGCCAUCUGCGAUGACUCAGUGCAGCUCUACAAAAUCAUUGCAAAUGAUUACAGACUUACAGUAUACUAAUCAUGUGUGACACUUUUGUUUUUGAAAGGGUGUUUCGUGUACCUCGUGAGGCAUGGUCAGUGCGGUGCAUGGAUGGGGAGUUGCCAUCUGCGAUGACUCAGUGCAGCUCUACAAAAUCAUUGCAAAUGAUUACAGACUUACAGUAUACUAAUCAUGUGUGACACUUUUGUUUUUGAAAGGGUGUUUCGUGUACCUCGUGAGGCAUGGUCAGUGCGGUGCAUGGAUGGGGAGUUGCCAUCUGCGAUGACUCAGUGCAGCUCUACAAAAUCAUUGCAAAUGAUUACAGACUUACAGUAUACUAAUCAUGUGUGACACUUUUGUUUUUGAAAGGGUGUUUCGUGUACCUCGUGAGGCAUGGUCAGUGCGGUGCAUGGAUGGGGAGUUGCCAUCUGCGAUGACUCAGUGCAGCUCUACAAAAUCAUUGCAAAAGAUUACAGACUUACAGUAUACUAAUCAUGUGUGACACUUUUGUUUUUGAAAGGGUGUUUCGUCUACCUCAAACAAAUGGGACAAUUGCAGCAAUAGGUGUAUUUCCUCCGGUUCGCAAUUUGUAUUUCUCCCAAAUGUCAUUAGAUAGUCUAGCACGGCCUGCCUGUAGUCUAAUCGGAAUUGCUGAGGGUCUGGAUUGUCCCUGUGCCCGCCCUUCGCUCUGAUCACCCCAAAGAAGUGUUCCAGGCAGUCCUGGUUGAGGUGCCUCGUAAAUAGAAACUGAAAUCCUUUCUCUGUGAAUGCAAAUGACAAACAGUACAUUGGCCAACAGCAGAAAACAUGCAGUGGUGGACAAAGCUCAUUAGCAUUAGCAAAGCUCAAUUUGAAUAAUUAUGCCUUAUUGCUGCUACCUUUCAAUUCAGCCCAGAUUUCCUUGAUUGCUCUUAGGUUAUGCCUCCAACCAUUUAGGCAAUUCAAGCUGUUGCCACUGGCACAUCUGACAGAUGCCAGCCAGUUAAUACUCUCAUUGAUAAAAUCAAUAUGUGUCUCUCUGAAGGCAUCCUUUUGUGGUGUGCUGCUGGACAAUGUGCUACUGUUAAAGCAGUCAAACAUCUGGUUAAAGUGGGCUACAAAAUCUGCCGUCGUUUUUGCCCCCUCUCUUAGCUUCCCCAUGUCUGCCAUGGUGAGCAGUGCAGCCGCAACAGAAUGACUAAGAACCUGUAAUAAAAAAAUAAAAAAAAUCCCAUUUUCAGGACCAUAGAUAAAGAUUGUAAAUUGAAUGUUAUACGCCUGCAUGACAGUUUUCACUUGUGGCUUACCUGAGUGGCGAGAGGCACACUCAUUGUUGAAAAGGCAGUGAGGGACAGAUGCCGUUGGGUUAACUUGGGUGCCAUUCGGUGUUGUCUUUGUGAAUCAAUUUUAAACAUUUCAGUGAUGUCUCCCCAUUCUGCCAAUUUGUCCCCUAUGUAAAAUCCAUAUUUUCGCAAAUUGUUUCUGAUGUUUUUCAUUAAAUGGGGGGGGUCGAAUAAAAAAUGAAUCUUCUGGCUUUUGACAAAGAAGUACGGUUUUUCUUCUGUUAUACCCAGGUUUCUACAGGCUGCCAGGUUGUUGCUGCCUUGGUCCAUUACCAGCACCAUGGGAGUGAAGCCAGUGUCAAGCACCUUUUCCACCGCCUCCAUGAUUUUGGUUUUUUAAGACCCCAUGCUUCAUGGUCCCAGAUGACAAGAAGUACCCUAUGGGUUGUUUCCAUUUCCCAGUUAGACUACGGAUCAUGAAAACCCCUGCAUGGUUGGCUGGUCUUCCCCCUUCGUCAUACCCUUCUACUUCAUCUUUCGAGAUGUUAUAAUUUAGGCUACAUUUCAAUGUAAUUUCAUCAAAUGUGAUGGCAACGUGCCUAUCUCGCUCUUCCAUAUGCUGCACUUGAUGUUUAAGUGCAUACAGCACAGGUUCAUGCCAUCCCGGCCCGAUGUCUACUCUCUGCAAGAUAUUUGAAAGGGUCCUGGCUGUAGGGAGCUUGAAAAUUCUCCUCAUGGUUCGGUAGGCUUUUGGCCCUGUACCCUUAACCUGUAACGCCCAACUUUUCAUGAAGUUGCUCCACCGAAUGGCCCUUGGUUUUUUUUUGGCAUUAUCAAUUUGCUCGUUGACAAAUUGUGCGGCUUGUUUUGGCAAUACUUUGGAAAUUUCCCUCUUUAAUGUUUGUUUGCUGAUAGAUGGUGUCUUUUUCUUUAGCCUUGACAGCUUUGAUUUGUAGCAGCCAAUUUUUCUUUUCAGUUUUUCCACUGUGUUGUCAUUGCUGACACUGGCCAGUACAUCAGUGCCUAAAAAGAAAUGUGACAACUGUAACAACAGACUUAUGCACAGACUACUACCUAUGCAGUGUUCAACACUCAGAAUGUAUCUGUUACCACCAUUUGCCAUUAAAUCACUUACUAUCCAGGA
Molecule: long non-coding RNA, 3687 nt
Organism: Engraulis encrasicolus (European anchovy)
Lineage: Eukaryota; Metazoa; Chordata; Actinopteri; Clupeiformes; Engraulidae
Exons: 2
Source: RefSeq, a predicted model, not a curated record